Molecule: ribosomal RNA, 120 nt
Filed under: Moeroris dinteri
Lineage: Eukaryota; Viridiplantae; Streptophyta; Magnoliopsida; Malpighiales; Phyllanthaceae
Description: Phyllanthus dinteri partial 5.8S ribosomal RNA
Rfam family: 5.8S ribosomal RNA
About the family: 5.8S ribosomal RNA (5.8S rRNA) is a component of the large subunit of the eukaryotic ribosome. It is transcribed by RNA polymerase I as part of the 45S precursor that also contains 18S and 28S rRNA.
Source: RNAcentral
AGAACGCAGCAAAAUGCGAUACUUGGUGUGAAUUGCAGAAUCCCGUGAACCAUCGAGUUUUUGAACGCAAGUUGCGCCCGAAGCCUUUUGGUCGAGGGCACGUCUGCCUGGGUGUCACGC